ACGCUCGACACCUACGGGAGGCAGCAGUGGGGAAUAUUGCACAAUGGGGGAAACCCUGAUGCAGCGACGCCGCGUGAGCGAAGAAGUAUUUCGGUAUGUAAAGCUCUAUCAGCAGGGAAGAUAAUGACGGUACCUGACUAAGAAGCUCCGGCUAAAUACGUGCCAGCAGGCCGGGUAAUCUGAGCGGGCUGGCAAGGC
This 198-nucleotide ribosomal RNA is filed under the name uncultured bacterium. RNAcentral's name for it is "partial 16S ribosomal RNA". It matches the Rfam family "Bacterial small subunit ribosomal RNA", at positions 328 to 539 of the family's 1533-position model. The record is from RNAcentral.